RNAcentral lists this transfer RNA (85 nucleotides) under Spirochaetaceae bacterium. RNAcentral describes it as "tRNA-Ser". It matches the Rfam family "tRNA". Rfam says of the family: Transfer RNA (tRNA) molecules are approximately 80 nucleotides in length. Their secondary structure includes four short double-helical elements and three loops (D, anti-codon, and T loops). Further hydrogen bonds mediate the characteristic L-shaped molecular structure. tRNAs have two regions of fundamental functional importance: the anti-codon, which is responsible for specific mRNA codon recognition, and the 3' end, to which the tRNAs corresponding amino acid is attached (by aminoacyl-tRNA synthetases). tRNAs cope with the degeneracy of the genetic code in two manners: having more than one tRNA (with a specific anti-codon) for a particular amino acid; and 'wobble' base-pairing, i.e. permitting non-standard base-pairing at the 3rd anti-codon position. Lineage: Bacteria; Pseudomonadati; Spirochaetota; Spirochaetia; Spirochaetales; Spirochaetaceae. The record is from RNAcentral.
GGAGCGGUGUCCGAGUGGUUUAAGGAGGCGGUCUUGAAAACCGUUGAGCCGAAAGGUUCCGGGGGUUCGAAUCCCCCCUGCUCCG